RNAcentral lists this ribosomal RNA (286 nucleotides) under uncultured Lactobacillus sp. Its description in RNAcentral is "partial 16S ribosomal RNA". It matches the Rfam family "Bacterial small subunit ribosomal RNA", at positions 251 to 524 of the family's 1533-position model. Lineage: Bacteria; Bacillati; Bacillota; Bacilli; Lactobacillales; Lactobacillaceae. The record is from RNAcentral.
GGUAGGGUAACGGCCUACCAAGGCGAUGAUGCAUGGCCCGAGUUGAGAGACUGAUCGGCCACAUUGGGACUGAGACACGGCCCAAAACUCCUACGGGAGGCAGCAGUAGGGAAAUCUUCCACAAUGGACGCAAGUCUGAUGGAGCAACGCCGCGUGAGUGAAGAAGGGUUUCGGCUCGUAAAGCUCUGUUGUUGGUGAAGAAGGACAGGGGUAGUAACUGACCUUUGUUUGACGGUAAUCAAUUAGAAAGUCACGGCUAACUACGUGCCCAGCAGCCGCGGGUAAU